CCAAUAAAAUCUACCUCCAUCACUCCAGUAUCCCUGUACAUAGUAUCUACCUCAAUCACUACAGUAUCUACCUCCAUCACUCCAGUAUCCCUCUACAUACAGUAUCUACCUCCAUCACUCCAGUAUCCCUGUACAUACAGUAUCUACCUCCAUCACUACAGUAUCCACCUCCAUCACUCCAGUAUCCCUGUACAUACAGUAUCUACCUCCAUCACUACAGUAUCCACCUCCAUCACUCCAGUAUCCCUGUACAUACAGUAUCCACCUCCAUCACUCCAGUAUCCCUCUACAUGCAGUAUCUACCUCCAUCACUCGAGUAUCCCUCUACAUACAGUAUCUACCUCCAUCACUCCAGUAUCUACACAUACAGUAUCUACCUCCAUCACUCCAGUAUCCACCUCCAUCACUCCAGUAUCCCUGUACAUACAGUAUCUACCUCCAUCACUCCAGUAUCCCUGUACAUACAGUAUCCACCUCCAUCACUUCAGUAUCCCUGUACAUAGUAUCUACCUCCAUCACUCCAGUAUCCCUGUACAUAGUAUCUACCUCAAUCACUCCAGUAUCCCUCUACAUACAGUAUCUACCUCCAUCACUCCAGUAUCCCUCUACAUACAGUAUCUACCUCCAUCACUCCAGUAUCCCUCUACAUACAAUAUCUACCUCCAUCACUCCAGUAUCCCUCUACAUACAGUAUCCACCUCCAUCACUCCAGUAUCCCUGUACAUAGUAUCUACCUCCAUCACUCCAGUAUCCCUCUACAUACAGUAUCUACCUCCAUCACUCCAGUAUCUACCUCCAUCACUACAGUAUCUACCUCCAUCACUCCAGUAUCCCUCUACAUACAGUAUCUACCUCCAUCACUCCAGUAUCCCUCUACAUACAGUAUCUACCUCCAUCACUCCAGUAUCUACCUCCAUCACUACAGUAUCUACCUCCAUCACUCCAGUAUCUACCUCCAUCACUACAGUAUCUACCUCCAUCACUACAGUAUCUACCUCCAUCACUACAGUAUCUACCUCCAUCACUCCAGUAUCCCUCUACAUACAGUAUCUACCUCCAUCACUCCAGUAUCCCUCUACAUACAGUAUCUACCUCCAUCACUCCAGUAUCUACCUCCAUCACUACAGUAUCUACCUCCAUCACUCCAGUAUCUACCUCCAUCACUACAGUAUCUACCUCCAUCACUACAGUAUCUACCUCCAUCACUCCAGUAUCUACCUCCAUCACUACAGUAUCUACCUCCAUCACUCCAGUAUCCCUCUACAUACAGUAUCCACCUCCAUCACUCCAGUAUCCCUCUACAUACAGUAUCUACCUCCAUCACUCCAGUAUCUACCUCCAUCACUACAGUAUCUACCUCCAUCACUCCAGUAUCCCUCUACAUACAGUAUCUACCUCCAUCACUCCAGUAUCCCUCUACAUACAGUAUCUACCUCCAUCACUCCAGUAUCUACCUCCAUCUCUCCAGUAUCCCUGUACAUUGUUAAUAUGGUAUUGACCCUGUAUAUAGUCCCCUUCCCCCUCUACAUAUCUACCUCCAUCUCUCCAGUAUCACUGCACAUUGUAGAUAUGGUAUUGACCCUGUAUAUAGUCCCCUUCCCCCUCCAGUAUCACUGCACAUUGUAGAUAUGGUAUUGACCCUGUAUAUAGUCCCAUUCCCCCUCUACAUAUCUACCUCCAUCUCUCCAGUAUCAUUGCACAUUGUAGAUAUGGUAUUGACCCUGUAUAUGGUACCAUAUAUGAUAUUGACCCUGUAUAUAGUACCAGAUAUGGUAUUGAAACUG
Molecule: long non-coding RNA, 1784 nt
Organism: Oncorhynchus mykiss (rainbow trout)
Lineage: Eukaryota; Metazoa; Chordata; Actinopteri; Salmoniformes; Salmonidae
Source: Ensembl